This 2125-nucleotide long non-coding RNA is filed under the name Phoenix dactylifera (date palm). RNAcentral's name for it is "long non-coding RNA (PDAC_LNC003528)". The record is from RNAcentral. Lineage: Eukaryota; Viridiplantae; Streptophyta; Magnoliopsida; Arecales; Arecaceae.
AUGAUCCAAUUUUAAUCUCAAAAACAAUAAAAUCCCUUCAAUUAUUUGUUUCUCAAAUCUCAAAGCAUACCAUCUUAGUUGCACGAAUCCCAAAGCCUCAUCCCAUCUCAGCCAUUCAUCUUGCUAUCACCCAACUCCACGCCUCUCAAACCCAUUGUUUUUCCCAUGCGUUGGAACAAAGAACAAAUCAUCUCCUCCACACAUCUAUGGAUAAAGAUCAAUCCCCUGCAUCUAAUAGAUUCAUCUUCAUCUCAAAUGAUCUCAUCUCUUCUCAGCCUGGAGCCAGCUCAUCCCACAUUUCCGGAUUUCCUUCUCAGCCGAAUGCAGCCAUCCCGCUCCACGUCCUCCUCCACGUUAAUUCUCACACGUCUAGCUUUGCGCGUCCAUAGAUAAAGAUCAAAGCCCCAGCUCAUCUCCUCCGUGUCCGUCCAAGCUCACCAUGUUCGUGAUCCUUCCGCAUCCAAAGCAUCUCCCAAGUAUUCUUCGACUUCAUCCUCCCAGUAUCCUUAUCUUCUCUCGCAUCCGUUUUCUUCCUCAACUUCCCUUCAUCCCGUUCGCGUUCGGAUAUGCAGGGAUUCAACCAUCCACAUGUGAAAUUCUCUCCCCUAUUUCACGUUCAUUCCGUUUGUAAUCACCCUUAUCCCGCGGCCAGCCGGAUUCCCACGCUUCCCAGGCAUCCGUUCCCAAGCCAUCAGCCGUAUCCACCAUUUUCAAGCCUCCUCUGCAUCCCACGAACCGAGCCAUAUCCAAGUUCAUCUCAACCGCAAGCUAUCCCAGCAUCAGCUCCGCAUUCAUCCUUAUCCUUCCCAGCCGAAUCAAGCAUCCUGUAAGCCAUAUCCUUCCUUUUGGAUUAACUCCCUUCUCCCACGGAUCACAUCUUCCCCAGCUUCUUCCGCUCACUCCCAGCAGAUCGUCAACGCCUCCAUCUCCCAAUUAGUUCGGAUUAGCUUUAAUCCAUCCAGAUUCUGAAAAGACUUCCUAGAUCUCCUCUUCAAAAUCAAGUCAGCCUUCCUCUCGAUCGCAUGCAGCUGCCCAUCCUCCACGUGCAUCCCAAGCUUCAUAUAUUCCCCUGUUUUGGAACCACCUCCAGCCAGAUCCAGCUACAGCCGCACUCAUUCCAGGAUACGAUCGAGAUCAGCCUUCAUCCACGGAUUGCAUUCCACCGUUCGCGAGAUCUUCGUUGUUACGCGUAUCUUCCAGCGUCCGGAUUAAAGCCGCAAGUGUUCACCGCAUCCAAGGAUCGAGAGUAGCUGCAUUCCAUCCUUAUCUUGUACUCGAAAUAGGGGAAGAGAGAGGGAGUUUGCAGGCUAUAAAAGAAGUCAAGAUGUGAAGGGGAGAGGGCAUUCCUCCUUCCCCACCGGGGGGGCAUUCCCUCUUCCCCCACCGGGGGCUGCUCCCAUCAUCUUCUCAGAGGCGGAAUCCCACAUAGUUCACCGGGAGAAGAAGAAGCUUGGGGGUUCUGAGGCUGAGUUCCCACCAAAGAAGUAAAGGGACAGAUAAUAGUUUGGGAUAUUCUGGGAAUUACUUCCCACAAAAAAAAAGAGAGAGAAAAGAAAUGAAAAGAUAAGAGGGGAGUCGCCGAAGGAAGAGAAGAAAGUGACGGGAGCCCGCUGUUGUGCUGCUGCUACCGUCCACCACUCCAUGGAAGGCUGAUCUCCUCUCUAGGGCUGGAUGCAGCCCUAAUAAAGGGACACGGGUUUUAUAUUUUAUUUUAUAUUCUUGAAGUUGUAUGAACUUAUUAUUUUUAAUGAAUAUCUUCUUUUAUUUCAUGUUUAAUUUCUGUGAUUUUAAAUGUGAAGUUUAUACAACUGUUCUUCAUGAUCACUAAGUAAAUAUAAGAUAGUCCAUGCUUAGGAAAGAUGCGAUGUGCUGCCACCUUAGAUUAGGGCAGACAUUUCAUGCUAACUGAAGAUGGAUUAUGCCUAAAUUACUUUUGUGAAAUUUUAUUCGAAUGCUUAAUGGCUUGUAGCCAAUUUGCAUGUUAAUCCAAGAAUGAAAUAAAUUAUAAAUAAUCCUUGUUCCGANNNNNNNNNNNNNNNNNNNNGAUCACUAAGUAAAUAUAAGAUAGUCCAUGCUUAGGAAAGAUGCGAUGUGCUGCCACCUUAGAUUAGGGCAGACAUUUCAU